Molecule: unclassified non-coding RNA, 3102 nt
Filed under: Leishmania donovani
Lineage: Eukaryota; Euglenozoa; Kinetoplastea; Trypanosomatida; Trypanosomatidae
Description: gene:LdHU3.28.0550(CDS-product:hypothetical_prote in_conserved)
Source: RNAcentral
UUUCGUUUCGUGGUGACUUGCGGAGGGCGCCUGCGCUGGCAGCACCAUCAGAAUCAUCAUCAGCGUGAUACCGUCCCCUGAUGAGUGCUUAUCACAUAAGCAACGACGCAUUCUGUGCUUUCACACCCACAUUAGACUCUGUCGACGUGUUUCGAUCCGCAUUUCGUGCGGGAACUGUCCUGUUGGAAUGGCGUCGGCCUCGAAGAAGAAGAACGGCGUAAAGGUGCAGUUCGACUCUGAAGGGACUGCUGGCGCACCAAACGUUCAGAGCCCGUUUGUGUCUGCGGCGCACAACACGGUGUGGCCGUACGAUGCCGCGGCGCACAACCGCGGUGGGCACACCAUCUUCACGGCCGCAGCCAACGCGAUGUGUGGACGCCCAAAUGGCACCUACGAUUGUGAUGAGGCGUGGACGACGGAGCGUGUAUCGCACGCUCGCUUGCAGACGACAGAAUCGCCCCUUGAGACUCGACCGUCUAUAGGCAGCGCCCCCGUAGUUUCCCACGGCCUCACGCCCGCGCACGACGUACUGUACGAGGAAUGGCUCGGCCACAUUGCGGCCUACCGCGCAUCUCCUCUGCAGUACCCUCAUCACAUCAUUUGCAUGACCGCCCCGGCUGUUGCGUCAAGCGCGUUCUCCACGUCCGACGCGAGCCCGCGGCAAGCCUUAUUGCAAGUGGCGACUGUUCUGUAUCAGCUGCUAGCGGCGUACCUGCGUCGCUGCAACAAGCAGCCGUUAGCCUCAGAGCACGAGGCGGACGAGCGAGUGCCGUCGCGCGUGUUCGCCAGCCUGCUGGGCAGUGCCGUGUAUAACACGAAUUUCAGCGAGCCGCCCCUGGAGCAGAAGGACACAACGUUUGACUGGGUGGUGCCGACAGGGCAGGGAGUGAGCGACGUGCCAGGGUCCGGAGUCGAGCGCGACAGCGUCGCUGCCAUACGGUCUGCACCCGUCAGCCCAGUGACAGCCCACAUGAUGAGAAUGCGGGCGCGCCAGCCACCCGCGCCGCCUCGCCGGUACGACGCCCUCUCUGUUGUCUCCUGCGUAGACGCAGCCCACGUCAACGUCUGCGUCGGUCAGCAUUUCUACAAGCUGUGUGUCAUGGACAAGCGGGAAGGGCGCUUGCGCGGCGUGGCAUCGCUGGCGGCAGACCUCGAGGCGCUGCACGCGCACCACCUCUCCCUUGGCCACACGGACGUGCUUCCUGGCGCAUCCCCUGCGACGCGGCAGGACCGGAAAGACCUGGACACGAUGUUUGCCAAUCUGUCUUGCUUGGCGGACGAGAUCGCCUUUGAUGUGCGCAGGCGUCUGCGCGUGUCGAGCGAGGUGAACGCCUACUCGCUGGAUGUGUUGGAGUCGGGACUGUGCACGCUUGUUUUGAGGGAGGACGACACGGUAUCGGGGUUCGAGUCUGCCGGCAGUCACGUGACGCCGGUUGCGCAGUGGUUGCACAGCGUGUGCUGCCUAGAAACGUCCCUGGCGCACCCAGAGGAAUGGACAAUGCGACUGCAAGCGUUGGUGGUGCCGUUACAGGCCGGCAUGGAAUGGGUGCGGAGCGCGUUGACGCAGCCCUCAGACGUAGUCUUCACGGGGGACGUCGCCAGCGACCCCAUCCCUCGCGACGCCUGCGUUGUGGCAGGAGGCGUUGCGGACCACGGAGCUACACCCCGCAAAGUGAAUCCCGCGACCCACGAGCUCAGCACACCGGUGGACGUGCGUGGCAACGUGGAGCACUUGGAGCUGUGGCUUCCUCAAAAGCACCGGGUGCCGUUGAAACCGUACGCGGCACCGGUGUGGAACCGCGCAGACGCGCAGCAUCCGCUUCCCGACGUCUCCAGCUGCGCGUGCACGCUGGUGGACUUUUGCAUGUGUCUUCUACGCGUCACGGCGGAGUGGAAACGUGAUGGCCGCCUCCCUGCCAGCUCUGAAGCCAUGCGUUGGCGGCCGAACGUCGUGAUAGCAGUGCAGCCGCCACGUGGCGGAGCGCCGUCUUUGAUGGCGCUGGACUUGCCGGCGGUACAGCACUUUUACGAGGUUCUUGCGUCCCCACCGCUGCUCUUCGCGGUCGACACCCGGCGCCGUGUCGAGGCGGAGGCGAGGGCAGAAGUGGCGGCUCUCUUGAACAGAAGCUGGUACACCACUUCUACGGUGCGCACACCGCCGAAGGAUGGGUCCCCGCCGAGCAGGUGGUCUGAAGGUGUCGAGACGGCAGCCAAUGGAGUGCUUAGCCGCGGGGACGUGUGCAUCUCGUUUGCCGUUCUCCCGCGCCAGGCGGCGCCGCUGUCGGACGUGACGACGCGCGCACCCGCCGUGUCGCGGCUUCUCUCUGACGUGGCCUUCCCCAGCAGCCUCCUCGUGAACUGCGCUGCGCAGCAGACGGCGGCAGAGGUGUGUGCUCGCGCCAGCCAUUCAGCUCUUGUCGACGUCGUCGUGGGCGCGGAUACGCCGGCGGCUGCGCCGGUUGUGGGGGAGUUUGCCGCUGCCCUGGCCUCCUGUAUGCGGGAUCGACGCUAGCACUGUCUAACAUGUCGGGGGCAGCGUGGGACAAUGGACGGGUAGUGUGGCACUGCCAUGUGUGCGUGCGCUGCUUUGGUUGCCUUGAUGGUUCUCCUUCUGGUUUCUAUUCUGGUUUCGCUCACGGUGGAUGUACAUUAGGCGACGAGGCUCGGCCAAUCAUCUUCGGUGAUUGUUGUUGCAGGUAGGCCCGCGCACCUCCUCUCAUUGCUUUUCCCAAUUUCAUCACCCUUCCUCUCCCCGUGCCCCAACUUCCCCACAGUCUCCGUGCAGCGCUGUCGCGUCUGCUUGGCUUUCACUGGUGUGGGUGUGCACGAGUGCCGUGCAUGGCGCGGGAGUGCGUGAGGGCUCCGAGCGCACGAGGAGAUGGUCGGCUGCCUUCUCCCUGUGUGCACAGCUUCCUCCCACGCUUUCUCUGGUACUUUUCUUCCUUGGCGGCUCCCACGCAACCCCUCAGCCUGCACAACACGUCAGUUCUCAUCUCGUAUCACCCCCACCCUCUCUCUAACCAUCCAACCCGUGUCCGCGUGCCACCACGUACGGGCGGCGGGGUCGAACACUCUAAUGCACUGCGUUUCGGACGCGCAAAG